RNAcentral lists this ribosomal RNA (253 nucleotides) under uncultured bacterium. Its description in RNAcentral is "partial 16S ribosomal RNA". It matches the Rfam family "Bacterial small subunit ribosomal RNA", at positions 524 to 776 of the family's 1533-position model. The record is from RNAcentral.
UACGAAGGGGGCUAGCUUUGUUCGGAAUUACUGGGCGUAAAGCGCACGUAGGCGGACUUGUAAGUUGGGGGUGAAAUCCCGGGGCUCAACCCCGGAAUUGCCUUCAAGACUGCAAGUCUGGAGGUCAGGAGAGGCGAGCGGAAUUCCGAGUGUAGAGGUGAAAUUCGUAGAGAUUCGGAGGAACACAAGUGGCGAAGGCGGCUCGCUGGACUGAUACUGACGAUGAGGUGCGAAAGCGUGGGGAGCAAACAGG